RNAcentral lists this ribosomal RNA (164 nucleotides) under Oryza officinalis. RNAcentral describes it as "5.8S ribosomal RNA". It matches the Rfam family "5.8S ribosomal RNA". Rfam says of the family: 5.8S ribosomal RNA (5.8S rRNA) is a component of the large subunit of the eukaryotic ribosome. It is transcribed by RNA polymerase I as part of the 45S precursor that also contains 18S and 28S rRNA. RNAcentral also lists the same sequence under 1 other name. Lineage: Eukaryota; Viridiplantae; Streptophyta; Magnoliopsida; Poales; Poaceae. The record is from RNAcentral.
CACACGACUCUCGGCAACGGAUAUCUCGGCUCUCGCAUCGAUGAAGAACGUAGCGAAAUGCGAUACCUGGUGUGAAUUGCAGAAUCCCGUGAACCAUCGAGUCUUUGAACGCAAGUUGCGCCCGAGGCCAUCCGGUCGAGGGCACGCCUGCCUGGGCGUCACGC